This 259-nucleotide ribosomal RNA is filed under the name uncultured bacterium. RNAcentral describes it as "partial 16S ribosomal RNA". It matches the Rfam family "Bacterial small subunit ribosomal RNA", at positions 524 to 777 of the family's 1533-position model. The record is from RNAcentral.
UACGGAGGGUGCAAGCGUUAUCCGGAUUCACUGGGUUUAAAGGGUGCGUAGGCGGGCAGGUAAGUCCGUGGUGAAAUCUCCGAGCUUAACUCGGAAACUGCCAUGGAUACUAUUUGUCUUGAAUACUGUGAAGGUGAGCGGAAUAUGUCAUGUAGCGGUGAAAAUGCUUAGAUAUGACAUAGAACACCAAAUUGCGAAGGCAGCUCACUGCGCAGUGAUUGACGCUGAGGCACGAAAAGCGUGGGGGAUCAAAACAGGG